GAUGAGGAACGUAGCGAAAUGCGAUACUUGGUGUGAAUUACAGAAUCCCGUGAACCAUCGAGUCUUUGAACGCAAGUUGCGCCCGAAGCCAUUAGGCCGAGGGCACGCCUGCCUGGGUGUCACACACCGUUACCCUCGCGCCAACGUCCAUCGUUGGCCGCGGCGCGGGGCGUGCGCUGACCUCCCGCGAGCGGGGUCUCGUGGUUGGUUGAAAAUCGAGUUCGCGGUCGAGGGUGCCGUGAUGAAAUGGUGGAUGGGCGACGCCCGAGGCCAAUCACGCGCGACUCUGUCCGGCUCGGACUCCUGGACCCCUUCGGCGUCUCCGGACGCUCUUUGGCGAGACCUCAGGUCCGGCGGGGCUGCCCGCUGAGUUUAAGCAUAUCAAUAAGCGGAGGA
RNAcentral lists this unclassified non-coding RNA (396 nucleotides) under soil metagenome. RNAcentral's name for it is "partial contains 5.8S ribosomal RNA, internal transcribed spacer 2, and large subunit ribosomal RNA". The stretch from base 1 to 122 matches the Rfam family "5.8S ribosomal RNA", at positions 35 to 154 of the family's 154-position model. The record is from RNAcentral.